GGUGAGGUGGCCGAGAGGCUGAAGGCGCUCCCCUGCUAAGGGAGUAUACAGUUUGUAGCUGUAUCGAGGGUUCGAAUCCCUCCCUCACCGCCA
Molecule: transfer RNA, 93 nt
Filed under: Thalassotalea agarivorans
Lineage: Bacteria; Pseudomonadati; Pseudomonadota; Gammaproteobacteria; Alteromonadales; Colwelliaceae
Also listed under: 3 other names
Description: tRNA_Ser_GCT
Rfam family: tRNA
About the family: Transfer RNA (tRNA) molecules are approximately 80 nucleotides in length.
Source: RNAcentral